ACCCAUGUGACGUUACCAAACUGUUGCCUCGGCGGGAUCUCUGCCCCGGGUGCGUCGCAGCCCCGGACCAAGGCGCCCGCCGGAGGACCAACCAAAACUCUUUUUGUAUACCCCCUCGCGGGUUUUUUAUAAUCUGAGCCUUCUCGGCGCCUCUCGUAGGCGUUUCGAAAAUGAAUCAAAACUUUCAACAACGGAUCUCUUGGUUCUGGCAUCGAUGAAGAACGCAGCGAAAUGCGAUAAGUAAUGUGAAUUGCAGAAUUCAGUGAAUCAUCGAAUCUUUGAACGCACAUUGCGCCCGCCAGUAUUCUGGCGGGCAUGCCUGUCCGAGCGUCAUUUCAACCCUCGAACCCCUCCGGGGGGUCGGCGUUGGGGAUCGGCCCUCCCUUAGCGGGUGGCCGUCUCCGAAAUACAGUGGCGGUCUCGCCGCAGCCUCUCCUGCGCAGUAGUUUGCACACUCGCAUCGGGAGCGCGGCGCGUCCACAGCCGUUAAACACCCAACUUCUGAAAUGUUGACCUCGGAUCAGGUAGGAAUACCCGCUGAACUUAAGCAUAUCAAUAAGCCGGAGGAAACUGCCUGAAAAACGGCUGCGCUAGAGUGGGGGAGAGGACGGUGGAAGUCCCAGGGGAACAUUUCCCCUGCUGCGAUAGCGAAAGAAGAGCCGUGGGAGGACACCACACCCUGUAUUGAUACUCCCCGGUCUGUUGCUAAAGCCUGAGGCUUCACAGCGCACUAGAGAGCCCUGGCAAACAUACCGAAAACUACUUACACCUUCACCUUUGAGUCCCUGGACACUUAUAGUGGAACACCGUCAGACAUUUAGUGGACCAUGGGGGGGAGUACAAACUCCAGUGGCAAACUCAGAUCAAUUGGCCUGGGACCCGCACCAGCGGGGGUAUUAGGGGGGUAUAAGUCCAAGAAACGCAAUUCAC
Molecule: ribosomal RNA, 930 nt
Filed under: Trichoderma harzianum
Lineage: Eukaryota; Fungi; Ascomycota; Sordariomycetes; Hypocreales; Hypocreaceae
Description: eukaryotic LSU rRNA
Rfam family: 5.8S ribosomal RNA (bases 180-333)
Source: RNAcentral